GUGGGGAAUAUUGGACAAUGGGCGCAAGCCUGAUCCAGCCAUGCCGCGUGAGUGAUGAAGGCCUUAGGGUUGUAAAGCUCUUUCACCGAUGAAGAUAAUGACGGUAGUCGGAGAAGAAGCCCCGGCUAACUUCGUGCCAGCAGCCGCGGUAAUACGAAGGGGGCUAGCGUUGUUCGGAUUUACUGGGCGUAAAGCGCACGUAGGCGGAUCGUUAAGUCGGGGGUGAAAUCCUGGAGCUCAACUCCAGAACUGCCUUCGAUACUGGCGAUCUUGAGUCCGGAAGAGGUGAGUGGAACUCCUAGUGUAGAGGUGGAAUUCGUAGAUAUUAGGAAGAACACCAGUGGCGAAGGCGGCUCACUGGUCCGGUACUGACGCUGAGGUGCGAAAGCGUGGGGAGCAAACAGGAUUAGAUACCCGUGUAGUCC
RNAcentral lists this ribosomal RNA (425 nucleotides) under uncultured bacterium. Its description in RNAcentral is "partial 16S ribosomal RNA". It matches the Rfam family "Bacterial small subunit ribosomal RNA", at positions 354 to 796 of the family's 1533-position model. The record is from RNAcentral.